Molecule: ribosomal RNA, 447 nt
Filed under: uncultured bacterium
Lineage: Bacteria
Description: bacterial SSU rRNA
Rfam family: Bacterial small subunit ribosomal RNA
Source: RNAcentral
ACCCCAGACUCCUACGGGAGGCAGCAGUAGGGAAUCUUUCCCAAUGGGCGACCGCCUGAUGGAGCCCCGCCUCGUGCAGUAUGACGGACUUCGGGUUUUCAACUGCUUUUCUCCGCGAGAAAUCUGCUGGUAACUUCUUUCUAAGGAUCUUCUCCCUACGUGCCCGCCUCCGCGGUACUCCUUCGGUGGCACGCUUUGUCCGGAUUGACUGGGUGUAAAGGGCGUGCAGCCGGAGAGACAAGUCAGAUGUGAAAUCCACGGGAGCAACCCGUGAACUGCAUUUGAAACUGUUUCCCUUGAGUGUCGGAGAGGUAAUCGGAAUUCCUUGUGUAGCGGUGAGAUGCGUAGAGAGAAGGAAGAACACCAGUGGCGAAGGCGGAGUACUGGACGAUAACUGACGGUGAGGCGCGAAAGCGUGGGGAGCAAACAGGAUUAGAUACCCCGGUA